UCAGGGAAUUAUGAUUAUGGUGCAGUUGGCUCAGCUAAAACUGCAACAUGUGCUGACUGCAUUGGCGCGUCAGUGUGCCGUUGAGUCUGUAAGACGGUGAGUCGGUGAGAUGCUAUGACCAAACAAAAAGUUGGCCCACUUUAACGCCCACAAACCGCCCACUAACUUCAAAAAAUCCUAUGACCAAAAAAAAAGUUGGCCCACUUUAACG
Non-coding RNA from Drosophila suzukii, 211 nucleotides. Lineage: Eukaryota; Metazoa; Arthropoda; Insecta; Diptera; Drosophilidae. The record is from RefSeq and is a predicted model, not a curated record.